CAGCCGCCACGGUAAUACAGAGGGUGCGAGCGUUAAUCGGAUUUACUGGGCGUAAAGCGUGCGUAGGCGGCUUCUUAAGUCGGAUGUGAAAUCCCUGAGCUUAACUUAGGAAUUGCAUUCGAUACUGGGAAGCUAGAGUAUGGGAGAGGAUGGUAGAAUUCCAGGUGUAGCGGUGAAAUGCGUAGAGAUCUGGAGGGAUACCGAUGGCGAAGGCAGCCAUCUGGCCUAAUACUGACGCUGAGGUACGAAAGCAUGGGGAGCAAACAGGAUUAGAGACCCCCGUAGUCCCUGUCUCUUAUAC
Molecule: ribosomal RNA, 301 nt
Filed under: uncultured bacterium
Lineage: Bacteria
Description: partial 16S ribosomal RNA
Rfam family: Bacterial small subunit ribosomal RNA
Source: RNAcentral